Molecule: long non-coding RNA, 2565 nt
Filed under: Homo sapiens (human)
Lineage: Eukaryota; Metazoa; Chordata; Mammalia; Primates; Hominidae
Description: HSALNT0400776
Source: RNAcentral
CAUCUUGAAAAAGAGCUUCAUCCAUGACCAGUUCUUGACGGCAUUGAAGGUGAGGGUGAGGGGAGGCCCACAGUCCCACAGGCCUGCCUCCAGUGAAGGGGCUCAUGAGCCCCCCAUGUCCUGGUGGCCUCUGCAAUUCCCGGAAGACACCAGGGCUGUUAAGCCACGGGGCUCUGGAGUCAGCGGCCUGGGCUGACGUGCCAGCUAGCUCUGGAUCUCUGACACGGGCACCCUUCUGCUGAGUGGAGGCCAUCACAGCGCCUGUUUCUCAGGACCGUCAGCGCUUUAACCAGGAUAAUGCAGAGAAAGUAUCUUGCCUGGGGCCCGGCCCGCAAGAGUCUUGGAAGACACUGGGUGCCAUCGCUACCCCUCCGGGCCACACGCUGAUGUCCUGAAAUGGAGAGGCGCUGGUACUCAAGGCGCAUGAGGCGGCCACGGCUCCGCGCCUGCAGCAGCGUCAGCACCUUGGCCAGGCGCUGGUCACGGAGCUCUUCCAGGACGCCUAGAAGCCCAGCCUUGAAGAACACCUGGGGGCGGAGAGGAUGUCUGCUGGAGGCAUUUCAAACCUGAUACACGCAAAACAGAGCUCAAACCAGUAUCCCUUCACCUCUCCUCCAAAUCAAAAAACCCUGUUUUUGUAGCUCAGUAAAUCUACCACUGGUAGCUCCCAGGUUGCUCACUCCCAAAACUAGAAAUCAUUCGUCUUUUCUGCAUCCAGAAUUCCAUGUCCAGCUUAUCAGCGAGGCCUGUAGGCUCCACCUCCACUAUUUGCCCCAAGCCUAUUCACUUCUCCCCAAGUCCCCGGCCAGGUCUGAGCCACCCCCAUGUCUUGCUGGGAUACCUGGCCAGGCCCCUCACAGUCCCUGCUUCCCCCUCCAGACAGGGGACCGUCUGUUGGGCUCUGAUAUGUGUGUCCUGCCCAGCCCCUCAGGCCUCCACCUGGAGCAGCAGGCAGGGGGAAGGGGUCACCCACCGCUGCCGGAAGUCGGUGUAGAGCAACCUGUUGGGGAACCCUUGGCGGCAGAUCCGGAUCCCCUCCAGGACCCCAUUGCAGCGCAGCUGGUGUAGCACCAAGAAGGCAUCCAUGACCCCUGGACGUGAGAGGGGAAAAGGUCAGAGGUCAACAGGCACACCCGCAGGCCCCAGAGAAAAAGCAGCAGUGGAGACCCUGCGAGGAUGGACAGGAUGCCCAGUGGCUGGGAACAGAACGAGCUUGAAAAGCCACCAUCAAGCCAGUCCAUCCUGGAAGGACUGAACCCCUGGUUCCCCAGGCCACCUCCCUUCUGGGAGCCUUCCCAGAUCCCCAGCUUCAGCCAUCUCCCCGGAUGGUCAGACACCACACCCACUCCAAGAACCCAUCUCCUAACAGAGAAAAGUUUGUGGCUUGGCUCCAGUCCCCUCCUGCAAAAUCUGCAGCACUGAGGUGUCAUCUUCACUUCUAACAAUGGCAAACCCAAGCUGGCAUCUCUGUACCCACUCUCACCCCCGCCACAGCCAUGGCUGUCACACACAAACAUGGGAGUGGGAAGAUGAAUGUCUUCAGUGCUGACAUAAUAUUUAAAAAGCUGUCAAUCACCUAAACGCCCAGCUGUAGGGGACUGCAGAAAUGCAUCGUAUGAAACUCAUCCACUGCAUGAACUACUCUUGCCAUGAGCAGCAUUCAAAAUACAUUUUCAGAGAAAAAGUAGGAUAUGAAAUGAAAUCUGUGUCUAUAAAAGAAAAUGGAUAGGCCAGGCGCAGUGGCCCACGCCUGUAAUCCCAGCACUUUAGGAGGCCAAGGUGGGUAGAUCACUUGAGGUCAGGAGUUCGAGACCAGCCUGGCCAAAAUGGUGAAGCCAUGUCUCUAUUAAAAAUACAAAAAUUAGCUAGGUGUGGUGGCGCAUGCCUGUAAUCCCAGCUACUUGGGAGGUUGAGGCAUAAGAAUUGCUUGAACCCUGGAGGCGAAGGUUGCAGUGAGCUGAGAUGGUGCCAUUGUACUCCAGCCUGGGCGACAGAGUGAGACUCCAUCUCAAAAAAAAAAAAAAAAAAAAAGGGAUAAAGGAUUUCGAGGAAAUGAACCUAAGUGUCAUGUGACUGGCUGUGAUAGGAAUGGGGAGAAACAUUUUUUCCCCUGCCAAUUUUUCAAAUUUUCUUUCUUCCAUUCUUUGUACAAUGGGUAAAUAUACAUAAUGUUCCACAAUCACAAAAACAAGGAAACACACCCUGCCCUGCACCCAGGGCAGUUCUAGGGAUCCAGUGAAAUUGUGGCUGCAAAUAGGGCCUUGUGAGCUGCAGAAUUCUGAGCACCCAGGAGGAGCUGUUGUCCACAGUACUGGGAUGCAUGCAUUCACACUGCUCACACACUCACCAAGGCUCACUCAUGGUCAACUCCAACACACCCACUCACACACGUGCCCUUUCACACACAAGCACAUAAACGCUGUCACAACUACACUCACAUGCAUGCUUACUGCAACGCACAGUCACACGCUUCCAUGCACACUUGCAGGCUUCCAUGCAAGCCAUGGUCAUCCAUCCCUGCUUGCUCACCACACACACCCUCCCUUCCUCAAAGUGACCUUGCCG